This is a non-coding RNA of Colinus virginianus (northern bobwhite), 143 nucleotides long. The record is from Rfam. Lineage: Eukaryota; Metazoa; Chordata; Aves; Galliformes; Odontophoridae.
AUGGCGGUGAUGAUUGGCGCAGGGGUACGGACCUCAGCUGGAUCAUGGGGGCUGAAUGCAGACUGUUGGUUUCAGUGCAGCUGGCACGUGGCUGGCUCACUGGGAACAGGUUUGCAUGACAACUUCGCCAAGGACUGAGCCAU